RNAcentral lists this unclassified non-coding RNA (230 nucleotides) under Glomus sp. RNAcentral's name for it is "partial contains 5.8S ribosomal RNA and internal transcribed spacer 2". The stretch from base 1 to 65 matches the Rfam family "5.8S ribosomal RNA", at positions 84 to 154 of the family's 154-position model. Lineage: Eukaryota; Fungi; Glomeromycota; Glomeromycetes; Glomerales; Glomeraceae. The record is from RNAcentral.
GUGAAUCAUCAAAUCUUUGAACGCAAAUUGCACUCCCCUCGGAGAGUAUGCCUGUUUGAGGGUCAGCCUAAAAAAAUCGACAUCGUUGCUGUUCCGCGGUGACGUUCGUCGGAAAUUGGGUAAUCUUAAACCUUUGGGUUUAAGGGACUUAAAAUUUUCCUUUUGUUUCCUGGAAGGUUUCUAAGUUUUAUUUCUUUAAAGUUUUAGGGUAUGGUUUUUUAUUGGGCUUG